AGAAGAAAUGUGCACGGAAGAUACUGCAUACCACUAUCUACAUAGGAGGUUUUCUAUUGAUGAAGUCUCGUUCUAUCGCCCAGGCUGGAGUGCAGUGGCGUGAUCUCAGCUCACUGGAACCUCCACGUCCUGGCUUCCAGUGAUUCUCCUGCUUCAGCCUCCUGAGUAGCUGGGAUUACAGGCACCCGCCACGACGCCUGGCAAAUUUUUGUAUUUUUAGUAGAGACAGGGUUUCACCAUGUUGGCCAGGCUGGUCUUGAACUCCUGACCUGACUGAAGCAAACUGCCCGCCUCGGCCUCCCAAAGUGCUGGGAUUAGAGGUGUGAGCUACUGCGCCCAGCCAAAUCUAUUUUUUAAACAAUAGAACCCCUGAUUUAAUUGAUACCUGACAUGGAAGUCUAACACUCACAGCAGAUAAAGUGAAAUUGCUAUGCCUAGAAUGUGUGUGGGAGUGUGGGGGGACAAGAGCCCUUUCCACUCAGCUCUCUCCCUUUUCUCUGUGCCCUCCGCAAUCCCUGCAGCCCUGGAGGGCUUUGAAACACUUGAAGGAUCCACUGGACACAGACUGAAAACCACUAAUUUCUAAGUCCUAAUGGAAAACUACCGAGGGUUUGAGCAAGAGUGUUAUUUAAUCGAAGCACUAUUUUAGGAAGAUAAAUCUGACAAGAUGGAUUGUAGAGAAGCCAAGAAGCAGGGAGACCAAUUAAGAGAUUAUUGAAAAAAUUCAGGCCAAAUUAACAUAGGUUCUGGGGAAUGACUGAAGGUGGGGGUAAAAAGAGAGAGACACCUGGGAUGGCUUCAAGGUUUAAUGCUGCACGACUGCAACAUUAAUUAAUAGACUGAAGAUACCUGUAAGGUCUCCUGGAUCAUCCCUCUUUUAUGGGAGGCAAAACGUCUCCAAAAUGACCACAAGGUGCCUCUGUUCUUUAAGAGGGCAGUCAACUGUUUAACAUUUUUCCAAAAAUGUACAUUUUACCUCAGUUGAUAAAUUAUAUGUGCUCCU
RNAcentral lists this long non-coding RNA (1003 nucleotides) under Homo sapiens (human). RNAcentral's name for it is "novel transcript, antisense to FBN1". Lineage: Eukaryota; Metazoa; Chordata; Mammalia; Primates; Hominidae. The record is from RNAcentral.